AAUAGAUACCCGGGUAGUCCACGCCGUAAACGUUGGGCGCUAGGUGUGGGGAACCUUCCACGUUCUCCGUGCCGUAGCUAACGCAUUAAGCGCCCCGCCUGGGGAGUACGGCCGCAAGGCUAAAACUCAAAGGAAUUGACGGGGGCCCGCACAAGCGGCGGAGCAUGCGGCUUAAUUCGAUGCAACGCGAAGAACCUUACCUAGGCUUGACAUAUACCGAAAACUCAUGGAGACAUGGGGUCCGCAAGGGCGGUAAACAGGUGGUGCAUGGUUGUCGUCAGCUCGUGUCGUGAGAUGUUGGGUUAAGUCCCGCAACGAGCGCAACCCUCGUCCUAUGUUGCCAGCGGGUAAUGCCGGGGACUCAUAGGAGACUGCCGGGGUCAACUCGGAGGAAGGUGGGGAUGACGUCAAAUCAUCAUGCCCCUUAUGUCUAGGGCUGCACGCAUGCUACAAUGGCCGGUACAAAGGGCUGCGAUACCGCAAGGUGGAGCGAAUCCCAAAAAGCCGGCCUCAGUUCGGAUUGGGGUCUGCAACUCGACCCA
This 542-nucleotide ribosomal RNA is filed under the name uncultured bacterium. RNAcentral's name for it is "bacterial SSU rRNA". It matches the Rfam family "Bacterial small subunit ribosomal RNA", at positions 777 to 1319 of the family's 1533-position model. The record is from RNAcentral.